CCCAGUCCAUCCCAGUUAACCCCAGUCCAUCCCAGUCCAUCCCAGUCCCUCCCAGUUAACCCCAGUUCCAUCCCAGUCCGUCCCAGUCCAUCCCAGUUCAUCCCAGUCCAUCCCAGUUCCAUCCCAGUCCAUCCCAGUUCCAUCCCAGUCCCUCCCAGUCUCAUCCCAGUCCCUCCCAGUUAACCCCAGUUCCAUCCCAGUUCCAUCCCAGUCCCACCCCAGUUUGUCCCAGUUCUAUCCCAGUUCCAUCCCAGUUAACCCCAGUCCAUCCCAGUCCAUCCCAGUUCCAUCCCAGUUCAUCCCAUUCCAUCCCAGUUAACCCCAGUCCAUCCCAGUCCAUCCCAGUCCAUCCCAUUCCAUCCCAGUUCCAUCCCAGUCCCAUCCAGUCCCCCCCAGUCCAUCCCAGUUCGCCCCAGUUCAUCCCAGUUCCAUCCCAGUUCAUCCCAGUUCCUUCCCUGGGUGUGUCCCACCUCUGCCCAGUACAGACCAGUACACCCCAGUAACAGCUCCCAGUACAGACCAGUACACCCCAGUAACAGCUCCCAGUACAGACCAGUAACAGCUCCCAGUACAGACCAGUACAGACCAGUAACGGCUCCUAAUACAUAUUAAUUUUCCCAGUACAGACCAGUAACAGCUCCCAGUACAAACCAGUACAGACCAGUACAGCCCAGUAACAGCUCCCAGUACAGACCAGUACAAACCAGUACACACCAGUACAGCCCAGUAACAGCUCGGGGUCCAGGUAGGGGCAGGGCUGGUUUGGGGUGAAUUUGGGGUGAAUUUUUGGGGUGAAUUUUGGGGUGAAUUUGGGGUAUUUUGGGGUAUUUUUGAGGUGUAUUUUGGGUGAUUUUUGAGGAUAUUUCUGGGAUAUUUUUGGGGUGAAUUCGGGGUGUUUUGGGUCCCCUCUCAGAUGGCCACGCUGUUCUCGAUGUUCUCAGGAUCCAGGUAGGGGCGGGGCUGGUUUGGGGUGAAUUUGGGGGAUUUUUGGGAUGAUUUUUGGGGUGAUUUCGGGGUGUAUUUUUAGGAUAUUUUGGGGAUAUUUCUGGGAUAUUUUUGGGGUGAAUUCGGGGUGUUUUGGGUCCUCUCUCAGAUGGCCACGCUGUUCUCAAUGUUCUCAGGAUCCAGGUAGGGGCGGGCUGGUUUGGGGUGAAUUUUUGGGAUAUUUUGGGGUGAAUUUUUGGGUAUUUUUGGGUGUAUUUCAGGGAUAUUUUUUGGGUGAUUUUGGGAUAUUUUUGGGGUGAAUUCGGGGUGUUUUGGGUCCCCUCUCAGAUGGCCACGCUGUUCUCGAUGUUCUCGGGGUCCAGGUAGGGGUAGGGCCGCUCCAGCCCCGCGUUCCGGGCCCGGAUCUCCCGGGAGAUUCGGCGCAGGCGGCGGCGGAAGCGGCGGAUCAGAGCCCGGGGGCGGCGCUCGGUGAAGUGACGGUCCGGGAAAUGGCCCAGGGGGCGCUGGGGGGGAACUGGGGUUACU
Molecule: long non-coding RNA, 1470 nt
Organism: Serinus canaria (Common canary)
Lineage: Eukaryota; Metazoa; Chordata; Aves; Passeriformes; Fringillidae
Exons: 3
Source: RefSeq, a predicted model, not a curated record